GUGGAUGAUGUGGUUUAAUUCGAUGCAACGCGAAAACUUACCCACCUUUGACAUGUACGGAAGUUACCAGAGAUGGUUUCGUGCUCGAAAGAGAACCGUAACACAGGUCCUGCAUGGCUGUCGUCAGCUCGUGUCGUGAGAUGUUGGGUUAAGUCCCGCAACGAGCGCAACCCUUGUCAUUAGUUGCUACGAAAGGGCACUCUAAUGAGACUGCCGGUGACAAACCGGAGGAAGGUGGGGAUGACGUCAAGUCCUCAUGGCCCUUAUAGGUGGGGCUACACACGUCAUACAAUGGCUGGUACAGAGGGUUGCCAACCCGCGGGGGGGAGCUAAUCCCAUAAAACCAGUCGUAGUCCGGAUCGCAGUCUGCAACUCGACUGCGUGAAGUCGGAAUCGCUAGUAAUCGCGGAUCAGAAUGUCGCGGUGAAUACGUUCCCGGGUCUUGUACACACCGCCCGUCACA
Molecule: ribosomal RNA, 463 nt
Filed under: uncultured Burkholderiales bacterium
Lineage: Bacteria; Pseudomonadati; Pseudomonadota; Betaproteobacteria; Burkholderiales
Description: bacterial SSU rRNA
Rfam family: Bacterial small subunit ribosomal RNA
Source: RNAcentral